This is an RNA transcript of Diospyros lotus (date-plum), 3923 nucleotides long. It is a transcript of the gene named CSC1-like protein HYP1, with no coding region annotated. Lineage: Eukaryota; Viridiplantae; Streptophyta; Magnoliopsida; Ericales; Ebenaceae. The record is from RefSeq and is a predicted model, not a curated record. The transcript is spliced from 11 exons.
AGUCUGACUUCAGCACACCGCAGCUAAUCAUACUAUCCGAACUCCGUAUCGCAUGGCUUCGUUCUCAAUCCAGUGGCAGAAUACAGGUUUGGUAUUUUUAGUCGGUCUCCAUUUAGGGUUUCGGUUUGUGUCUCUUACAAUCUGGUGAUUUUUAUCUCAAUCAUUUGGCUACUAACGAUGUGAAUUGGUACUUUACACACACACACACACACAUGACACAACACACAUUUCUGGAGGUUCUUGAUAGUUGAGAGAUGCAAUGGGAUUGUCGAUCUAGACACACAAAUAUAUGAAACUCUUCGGACAUUAGAUGCCGUUUGGUUGAUAUAAAUAGAGUUAGAAAUUAGAUCUUUGGCACAUGUUUAGCUCUCGUCACUUGUGAUACCACUGGUUUUCUCUUGUUUCAUUUACGGUACCAUUGGCUAUUUUUCCUUUGGGUCAAGUUAUAUGAAAUCGGAGGUUUAGUUCCAUUUUUGUAUCCUACUUUUUCAGACCAAGUGUAGAACAGUUAGUAGUUUUAACAGUUAGCGCUUCUACUGGGUAUCAGCUGUUCCCUGACCUCAUUGGGUCUAAUUGGAUCAAUUCUAUUUAACUAGUGUGUAGUCGCAUUAAGUUACUUAUACUCAUCGAGUCAUACAAUAGGAGAAUAGUUUGUGAUGAAUAAUCUUCUCCACCUGUAAUUACCAUGACCCAGUCAUCAGGACAGCACUUGUAAAUGGUAUUUCCCUUUGCUUUUGGGUUUUUUACCUAUAUCUUGCUGUUGGUGUGAUGUGUGUGUUGUUUUCCACGGUGGGAAUGUUGCUGGUCAUAUUUCAUUGGCAUUUGUAAUUACAGUUGUCAUCAUUGUUACUAUUGUUGUUAAUGCUAUUGUUAUCCCAGGGCUGAAUCAUUGGGAAUGUUCUAAAUGAACACCCCGAUCUGCUUUUAAGUUUGAAAGAAAAAAUGCUCAAAUAUUUUGGCCACUCAAACUAAAUCUUUUUGUUGUAUGUGUUUUAUCGCUUUUAAUGUUUGAUUGUUGUGUGGCCUUCAUUCCAUCUGUCAUCUCCCCCCCCCCCCCCCCCCCCCCCCCAAAAAAAAAAAAAAAAAAAAAAAAAGGAAAACAAAAAAAUAUAGAAGCUAUAUAAUACACACAUAUUGGCCAAUUUUUGGCACUGUUAUUGCCAACUUACAGGCAUAUUUGUGCAGCCUUUUCAUUCUAGGUAAUAAAUAUUGGGCACCCUCGAAUUUGUCAUCUGCUAGUACAAUUCACUGAAGGAAGUGAGCAACUGAUAGGGGCAGAUAAACACUUGGUUUAAAGCAAUGAUUCUCUCUGCUCUUUUAACUUCUGUUGGAAUCAAUCUUGGUCUCUGUCUUCUAUUUUUUACUCUAUAUUCUAUAUUGAGGAAGCAGCCCGGCAAUAUCAGUGUUUAUGUGCCGCGCGGGGUUGCCAAGGAAAAAAUUCAGCAGAGAAGUGAUCAGUUCAACCUUGAAAGCCUAUUACCAUCUCCUGGUUGGAUGAGAAGGGCAUGGAAGCUAUCAGAAGAAGAACUACUGUCAGACUCUGGUUUGGAUGCAGUAGUCUUUAUGCGUAUUUUCACCUUUAGCUUGAAAAUAUUUGCUUUUGCCGGGAUCAUUGGAGUUUUUGUUCUUCUUCCAGUUAAUUUUAUGGGGAACCAGCUAAGUAUUGAUUUUUCUGAUUUGACACAGAAGUCCUUGGAUUCAUUCAGUAUUUCAAAUGUCAAUAAUGGAUCAAGCAGGCUAUGGAUUCACUUCUGUGCCAUUUAUGUCUUCACGGCAUUUGUCUGCUACCUUCUUUAUUCUGAGUAUAAAUAUCUUUCAUCAAAAAGGAUUGCUUGGUUCUAUGCAUCCAAACCUCAGCCACAUCAGUUCACUAUUUUAGUAAGAAAUAUACCUGCUUUGCCUGGGAGUAGCAUCAGUGAAAGUGUUGAGCGCUUUUUUACAGAGUGCCAUCCUUCCACAUAUCUUGGACAUGUCGUGGUUAAACGUACAAGUAAACUUCAGCACCUAAUUAAUCAAGCAGAUAAGGUGAAUAAGAGGCUUGUUCGGUUGAAAUCAACAAAACAUACUCUAGAAAGCUCGAGGCGCAAUGUUGAUCUGGUAGAUAGUUAUGAAAAAAAGCUACAUGAUCUACAAGAUCAGAUACGGUUGGAGCAAUCUUCAGGAAAGGAAGUCUCUGCUGCCUUUGUGGCUUUCAAGUCACGGUAUGGUGCUGCCCAAGCUUUGCACAUCCAACAAGGGAUCAAUCCAACAGAGUGGCUUACUGAGCCAUCUCCCGAGCCUCGCGAUGUCCACUGGUCCUUCUUUUCUGCCUCAUUCAUGAAGAGGUGGAUUUACAAGCUAGUGGCUGUGGUCGCAUACAUUACUCUUACAAUUUUAUUCCUUAUUCCGGUAGUUGUAGUGCAAGGUCUUACUCAUCUGGAUCAAUUGGAAACCUGGUUCCCUUUUCUGCGCAGCAUUCUGGAAAUAAAAGUUGUCAGUGAGGUGAUUACAGGAUAUCUUCCUAGUCUUAUUCUACAGAUGUUUCUAUUAUUUGUGCCACCAAUUAUGAUGGCUCUUUCUUCCAUUCAAGGGCUUAAUGCACUCAGUCAGAUAGAAAGAAGUGCAUGUUUUAAGUUAUUGUGGUUUACCAUAUGGAACAUAUUCUUUGCAAAUGUACUGUCAGGAUCAGCUCUCUACGAUGUAAAUAUCUUCCUGGAGCCAAAGGAAAUCCCUGGCAUAUUAGCUGAAGCGGUUCCCGCACAGGCAGCCUUCUUCAUUGCAUAUGUUGUGACAUCUGGAUGGACCAGUACAUCUUCUGAGCUCUUUAGGAUGUUCCCCCUCAUUUUCAGUUACAUAAAAAGGAUAUUUUCUGGAAAAGGUGAUGAUGAUUUUGAGGCGCCAUCAAUUCCUUAUCAUAGUGAAAUUCCAAAGAUUCUCUUCUUUGGACUUCUUGGUGUCACAUACUUUUUCCUUGCACCCUUAAUUCUGCCAUUCGUCUUGGUUUUCUACUGCCUAGGGUAUAUCGUUUACCGUAACCAGCUAGUGGAUGUUUAUGAGCCAAUAUUUGAAACUGGGGGAAAAUUUUGGCCAAUAGUGCACGGUUCUACGAUAUUUUCCCUGGUAUUGAUGCAUAUUAUUGCCAUUGGAACAUUCAGCCUGAAGGAACUUCCCCUGGCUUCCACCUUAAGCAUUCCUCUUCCAGUUCUUACUUUGUUGUUCCAUGACUAUUGCCUGAGACGGUUUUUACCCAUAUUCGAGGCGUAUCCUGCUGAGUGUUUGAUAAAGAAAGAUAGGGCUGAUCAAAGUGACCCUACAAUCGCUGAUUUGCCCGACGACUUACACACUGCAUAUCAUGAUCCUGCUCUGAAGCAAAUCCAAAAUUCUGGUAGUAGUGAUCAGCAAAGCCCUCUCCUUGGCGACGCCGAUAUUUAAGAGUUGUUAGCGGGUAUCAGUUAGUGGGUUUCUUGGGGAUGCUGUGCCCUUAAAAGACCACAGUCCUGAAGCGAUUGCCCUUCUUCUUGUUGCUACUAUAUAUGUUGAGGCUUCAUGUUGUGACCAGACCAGACCAGGGCUGUUCUUCCCUUUCCAAAUGCGCACAUAGUUCUGGACUGGUUUUACCCAUACAUUCGUCUUCUUCCUGUCGAUGCCUGCUGUUAUGAUGUUACUGUUGGGGUGUUGGUUGCUGACUGGUGUUACUGCGCGUCCACGUGGAGGAGUUAGACAGGCCAUUUGACAUCGUCCCUUUACUGUUGACGUGUCAUUUCUCAAUGACAGCGCAACUCCGUAGUAACAACGUACACAGAGGACUUCGAUGCCGGCAUCUGCUAUUGUUUUAUCAGUUAUCGUUUUCCUUCUUACCUUUUCUUUUUGGGCACUGUUUCAGUACCCUUUUAUGUACCGUUGUUUAAGGGACGUAAUGUAAGAAAGCAAAGGUGUUGUGAAAU